AUACGGAGGAUCCGAGCGUUAUCCGGAUUUAUUGGGUUUAAAGGGUGCGCAGGCGGCCAUUUAAGUCAGCGGUUAAAUCGUGGGGCUCAACCCCAUUCUGCCGUUGAUACUGGGUGGCUUGAUUGCGGUCGAGGUUGGCGGAAUUCGUUGUGUAGCGGUGAAAUGCAUAGAUAUGACGAAGAACACCGAUUGCGUAGGCAGCUGACCAGACCGCAAAUGACGCUCGUGCACGAAAGUGCGGGGAUCGAGCAGGAUUAGAUACCCUGGUAGUCCGCACAGUAAACGAUGAAUACUUGUUUUCGGCGAUAUAAUGUCGGAGGCAAAGCGAAAGCGAUAAGUAUUCCACCUGGGGAGUACGCCGGCAACGGUGAAACUUAAAGGAAUUGACGGGG
RNAcentral lists this ribosomal RNA (392 nucleotides) under uncultured bacterium. RNAcentral's name for it is "partial 16S ribosomal RNA". It matches the Rfam family "Bacterial small subunit ribosomal RNA", at positions 523 to 918 of the family's 1533-position model. The record is from RNAcentral.